UUUGGCCUACGGGGCGCAGCAGUGAGGAAUAUUGGUCAAUGGGCGCGAGCCUGAACCAGCCAAGUAGCGUGAAGGAUGACUGCCCUACGGGUUGUAAACUUCUUUUAUAAAGGAAUAAAGUGAGGCACGUGUGCCUUUUUGUAUGUACUUUAUGAAUAAGGAUCGGCUAACUCCGUGCCAGCAGCCGCGGUAAUACGGAGGAUCCGAGCGUUAUCCGGAUUUACUGGGUGUAAAGGGCGUGUAGCCGGGCCGGCAAGUCAGAUGUGAAAUCCCAAGGCUCAACCUUGGAACUGCAUUUGAAACUG
This 305-nucleotide ribosomal RNA is filed under the name uncultured bacterium. RNAcentral's name for it is "bacterial SSU rRNA". It matches the Rfam family "Bacterial small subunit ribosomal RNA", at positions 333 to 635 of the family's 1533-position model. The record is from RNAcentral.